UGUGCAGAGGAGGCCAAGAUAGCCUAUA
Molecule: non-coding RNA, 28 nt
Filed under: Mus musculus (house mouse)
Lineage: Eukaryota; Metazoa; Chordata; Mammalia; Rodentia; Muridae
Source: RNAcentral